AGAGUUUGAUCAUGGCUCAGGACGAACGCUGGCGGCGUGCCUAACACAUGCAAGUCGAGCGAUGAAAUCCUUCGGGAUGGAUUAGCGGCGGACGGGUGAGUAACACGUGGGUAACCUGCCUCAAAGAGGGGAAUAGCCUCCCGAAAGGGAGAUUAAUACCGCAUAAUAUGUUUUGAUCGCAUGAUUAAAACAUCAAAGGAAUUUUCUUCGGAUUAUUUCACUUUGAGAUGGACCCGCGGCGCAUUAGCUAGUUGGUGAGGUAACGGCCCACCAAGGCGACGAUGCGUAGCCGACCUGAGAGGGUGAUCGGCCACAUUGGAACUGAGACACGGUCCAGACUCCUACGGGAGGCAGCAGUGGGGAAUAUUGCGCAAUGGGGGAAACCCUGACGCAGCAACGCCGCGUGAAUGAUGAAGGCCUUCGGGUUGUAAAGUUCUGUCUUCUGGGACGAUAAUGACGGUACCAGAGGAGGAAGCCACGGCUAACUACGUGCCAGCAGCCGCGGUAAUACGUAGGUGGCAAGCGUUGUCCGGAUUUACUGGGCGUAAAGGAUGCGUAGGCGGACAUUUAAGUCAGAUGUGAAAUACCCGAGCUUAACUUGGGUGCUGCAUUUGAAACUGGGUGUCUAGAGUGCAGGAGAGGUAAGUGGAAUUCCUAGUGUAGCGGUGAAAUGCGUAGAGAUUAGGAAGAACACCAGUGGCGAAGGCGACUUACUGGACUGUAACUGACGCUGAGGCAUGAAAGCGUGGGGAGCAAACAGGAUUAGAUACCCUAGUAGUCC
This 781-nucleotide ribosomal RNA is filed under the name uncultured bacterium. RNAcentral's name for it is "bacterial SSU rRNA". It matches the Rfam family "Bacterial small subunit ribosomal RNA", at positions 8 to 796 of the family's 1533-position model. The record is from RNAcentral.